This 424-nucleotide ribosomal RNA is filed under the name Fusobacteriota bacterium. RNAcentral's name for it is "Fusobacteria bacterium partial 16S ribosomal RNA". It matches the Rfam family "Bacterial small subunit ribosomal RNA", at positions 355 to 776 of the family's 1533-position model. The record is from RNAcentral. Lineage: Bacteria; Fusobacteriati; Fusobacteriota.
UGAGGAAUAUUGGUCAAUGGGCGAGAGCCUGAACCAGCCAAGUAGCGUGCAGGAUGACGGCCCUAUGGGUUGUAAACUGCUUUUAUGUGGGGAUAAAGUGCGUGACGUGUCAUGCAUUGCAGGUACCACAUGAAUAAGGACCGGCUAAUUCCGUGCCAGCAGCCGCGGUAAUACGGAAGGUCCGGGCGUUAUCCGGAUUUAUUGGGUUUAAAGGGAGCGUAGGCUGUCUAUUAAGCGUGUUGUGAAAUAUACCGGCUCAACCGGUGGCUUGCAGCGCGAACUGGUCGACUUGAGUAUGCAGGAAGUAGGCGGAAUUCAUGGUGUAGUGGUGAAAUGCUUAGAUAUCAUGACGAACUCCGAUUGCGCAGGCAGCUUACUGUAGCAUAACUGACGCUGAUGCUCGAAAGUGCGGGUAUCAAACAGG